ACAUACGACCAUAGAAGACCGAGGAGAUUGGGCACCCCGCUCGCUCUGCCAUACACCAAUAAGCCUCAGAUCGGCAGAUUAGUAGAUGGCUAGGUGACCACCAGCGAAUACCUGCUGUUGCAUGUC
Molecule: ribosomal RNA, 126 nt
Filed under: Drepanopeziza brunnea f. sp. 'multigermtubi' MB_m1
Lineage: Eukaryota; Fungi; Ascomycota; Leotiomycetes; Helotiales; Drepanopezizaceae
Source: RNAcentral